This 40-nucleotide non-coding RNA is filed under the name unclassified sequences. RNAcentral's name for it is "DUF805b RNA". It matches the Rfam family "DUF805b RNA". Rfam says of the family: Bacteroidetes, Chlorobi (1 example), Proteobacteria. Lineage (Flavobacteria) The record is from RNAcentral.
UGGGUGCAAGCCGAAAAACCCGACAAAAAAAGAGUAGGCA